CACAUGCAAGUCGAACGAUAGAAGGAAGCUUGCUUCUGGAUUAGUGGCGAACGGGUGAGUAACACGUGAGUAACCUGCCCUUGACUCUGGGAUAAGCACUGGAAACGGUGUCUAAUACCGGAUACGACCUUCAGCCGCAUGGCUCGGGGGUGGAAAGAAUUUUGGUCAAGGAUGGACUCGCGGCCUAUCAGCUAGUUGGUGAGGUAAUGGCUCACCAAGGCGACGACGGGUAGCCGGCCUGAGAGGGUGACCGGCCACACUGGGACUGAGACACGGCCCAGACUCCUACGGGAGGCAGCAGUGGGGAAUAUUGCACAAUGGGCGAAAGCCUGAUGCAGCAACGCCGCGUGAGGGACGACGGCCUUCGGGUUGUAAACCUCUUUUAGUAGGGAAGAAGCGAAAGUGACGGUACCUGCAGAAAAAGCACCGGCUAACUACGUGCCAGCAGCCGCGGUAAUACGUAGGGUGCAAGCGUUAUCCGGAAUUAUUGGGCGUAAAGAGCUCGUAGGCGGUUUGUCGCGUCUGCUGUGAAAACUGGAGGCUCAACCUCCAGCCUGCAGUGGGUACGGGCAGACUAGAGUGCGGUAGGGGAGAUUGGAAUUCCUGGUGUAGCGGUGGAAUGCGCAGAUAUCAGGAGGAACACCAAUGGCGAAGGCAGAUCUCUGGGCCGUAACUGACGCUGAGGAGCGAAAGCAUGGGGAGCGAACAGGAUUAGAUACCCUGGUAGUCCAUGCCGUAAACGUUGGGAACUAGAUGUAGGGGCCAUUCCACGGUUUCUGUGUCGCAGCUAACGCAUUAAGUUCCCCGCCUGGGGAGUACGGCCGCAAGGCUAAAACUCAAAGGAAUUGACGGGGGCCCGCACAAGCGGCGGAGCAUGCGGAUUAAUUCGAUGCAACGCGAAGAACCUUACCAAGGCUUGACAUAUACCGGAAAAGUGCAGAAAUGUGCUCCCCGCAAGGUCGGUAUACAGGUGGUGCAUGGUUGUCGUCAGCUCGUGUCGUGAGAUGUUGGGUUAAGUCCCGCAACGAGCGCAACCCUCGUUCUAUGUUGCCAGCACGUUAUGGUGGGAACUCAUAGGAGACUGCCGGGGUCAACUCGGAGGAAGGUGGGGAUGACGUCAAAUCAUCAUGCCCCUUAUGUCUUGGGCUUCACGCAUGCUACAAUGGCCGAUACAAAGGGCUGCAAUACCGUGAGGUGGAGCGAAUCCCAAAAAGUCGGUCUCAGUUCGGAUUGAGGUCUGCAACUCGACCUCAUGAAGUCGGAGUCGCUAGUAAUCGCAGAUCAGCAACGCUGCGGUGAAUACGUUCCCGGGCCUUGUACACACCGCCCGUCAAGUCAUGAAAGUCGGUAACACCCGAAGCCAGUGUGUCCUAACCGGUAA
This 1381-nucleotide ribosomal RNA is filed under the name Microbacteriaceae bacterium PDD-32b-35. Its description in RNAcentral is "bacterial SSU rRNA". It matches the Rfam family "Bacterial small subunit ribosomal RNA". The record is from RNAcentral. Lineage: Bacteria; Bacillati; Actinomycetota; Actinomycetes; Micrococcales; Microbacteriaceae.